RNAcentral lists this ribosomal RNA (406 nucleotides) under uncultured bacterium. RNAcentral describes it as "partial 16S ribosomal RNA". It matches the Rfam family "Bacterial small subunit ribosomal RNA", at positions 30 to 526 of the family's 1533-position model. The record is from RNAcentral.
AUUGAACGCUGGCGGCAGGCCUAACACAUGCAAAUCGGGCGAGAGGCGGACGGGUGAGUAAUGUAUGGGGAUCUGCCUGAUGGCGGGGGAUAACUACUGGAAACGGUAGCUCAUACCGCAUCCCAUCAGCUGAACCCAUAUGGGCUUAGCUAGUAGGUAAGGUAACGGCUUACCUAGGAGACGAUCCCUCGCUGGUCUGCGAGGAUGAUCAGCCACACUGGGACUGAGACACGGCCCAGACUCCUACGGGAGGAAGAAGUGGGGAAUAUUGCACAAUGGGCGCAAGCCUGAUGCAGCCAUGCCGCGUGUAUGAAGAAGGCCUUAGGGUUGUAAAGUACGUUCAGUCGGGAGGCGUUACCGACAGAAGAAGCACCGGCUAACUCCGUGCCAGCAGCCGCGGUAAUAC